This 113-nucleotide ribosomal RNA is filed under the name Burkholderiaceae bacterium. The record is from RNAcentral. Lineage: Bacteria; Pseudomonadati; Pseudomonadota; Betaproteobacteria; Burkholderiales; Burkholderiaceae.
CUUGACGACCAUAGCGAGGUGGUCCCACCCCUUCCCAUCCCGAACAGGACCGUGAAACACCUUAGCGCCGAUGAUAGUGGACGUACGUCUGUGAAAGUAGGACAUUGUCAAGC